GACGAACCGUGCAAACGUUGUUCGGAAUCACUGGGCUUAAAGGGCGCGUAGGCGGGCCAGCCAGUCUGUGGUGAAAGCCUCCAGCUUAACUGGAGAAGUGCCGUGGAUACUGCUGGCCUCGAGGAGGAUAGGGGCAUCUGGAACGGUCGGUGGAGCGGUGAAAUGCGUUGAUAUCGACCGGAACUCCGGUGGCGAAGGCGAGGUGCUGGGUCCUUUCUGACGCUGAGGUGCGAAAGCGUGGGGAGCAAACAGG
Molecule: ribosomal RNA, 253 nt
Filed under: uncultured bacterium
Lineage: Bacteria
Description: partial 16S ribosomal RNA
Rfam family: Bacterial small subunit ribosomal RNA
Source: RNAcentral